This 520-nucleotide ribosomal RNA is filed under the name Botryosphaeria dothidea. RNAcentral describes it as "eukaryotic LSU rRNA". The stretch from base 162 to 315 matches the Rfam family "5.8S ribosomal RNA". The record is from RNAcentral. Lineage: Eukaryota; Fungi; Ascomycota; Dothideomycetes; Botryosphaeriales; Botryosphaeriaceae.
GGCCCGAUCCUCCCACCCUUUGUGUACCUACCUCUGUUGCUUUGGCGGGCCGCGGUCCUCCGCGGCCGGCCCCCCUCCCCGGGGGGUGGCCAGCGCCCGCCAGAGGACCAUCAAACUCCAGUCAGUAAACGAUGCAGUCUGAAAAACAUUUAAUAAACUAAAACUUUCAACAACGGAUCUCUUGGUUCUGGCAUCGAUGAAGAACGCAGCGAAAUGCGAUAAGUAAUGUGAAUUGCAGAAUUCAGUGAAUCAUCGAAUCUUUGAACGCACAUUGCGCCCUUUGGUAUUCCGAAGGGCAUGCCUGUUCGAGCGUCAUUACAACCCUCAAGCUCUGCUUGGUAUUGGGCACCGUCCUUUGCGGGCGCGCCUCAAAGACCUCGGCGGUGGCGUCUUGCCUCAAGCGUAGUAGAACAUACAUCUCGCUUCGGAGCGCAGGGCGUCGCCCGCCGGACGAACCUUCUGAACUUUUCUCAAGGUUGACCUCGGAUCAGGUAGGGAUACCCGCUGAACUUAAGCAUAU